RNAcentral lists this ribosomal RNA (249 nucleotides) under uncultured bacterium. RNAcentral describes it as "partial 16S ribosomal RNA". It matches the Rfam family "Bacterial small subunit ribosomal RNA", at positions 1243 to 1500 of the family's 1533-position model. The record is from RNAcentral.
AGGGCAGCUACCCAGCGAUGGGAUGCGAAUCUCGAAAGCCUGUCUCAGUUCGGAUUGGAGGCUGAAACCCGCCUCCAUGAAGUUGGAUUCGCUAGUAAUCGCGCAUCAGCCAUGGCGCGGUGAAUACGUUCCCGGGCCUUGUACACACCGCCCGUCAAGCCAUGGAAGCUGGGGGUGCCUGAAGUUCGUGACCGGAAGGAGCGACCUAGGGCAAAACCGGUGACUGGGGCUAAGUCGUAACAAGGUAUC